Molecule: ribosomal RNA, 682 nt
Filed under: uncultured Bacteroidales bacterium
Lineage: Bacteria; Pseudomonadati; Bacteroidota; Bacteroidia; Bacteroidales
Description: bacterial SSU rRNA
Rfam family: Bacterial small subunit ribosomal RNA
Source: RNAcentral
GAGGGGCAGCAUCAUCAAAGCUUGCUUUGAUGGAUGGCGACCGGCGCACGGGUGAGUAACACGUAUCCAACCUGCCGACAACACUGGGAUAGCCUUUCGAAAGAAAGAUUAAUACCGGAUGGUAUAGUUUUCCCGCAUGGGAUGAUUAUUAAAGAAUUUCGGUUGUCGAUGGGGAUGCGUUCCAUUAGGCAGUUGGCGGGGUAACGGCCCACCAAACCUACGAUGGAUAGGGGUUCUGAGAGGAAGGUCCCCCACAUUGGAACUGAGACACGGUCCAAACUCCUACGGGAGGCAGCAGUGAGGAAUAUUGGUCAAUGGACGAGAGUCUGAACCAGCCAAGUAGCGUGAAGGAUGACUGCCCUAUGGGUUGUAAACUUCUUUUAUACGGGAAUAAAGUGAGCCACGUGUGGCUUUUUGUAUGUACCGUAUGAAUAAGGAUCGGCUAACUCCGUGCCAGCAGCCGCGGUAAUACGGAGGAUCCGAGCGUUAUCCGGAUUUAUUGGGUUUAAAGGGAGCGUAGGCGGGUUGUUAAGUCAGUUGUGAAAGUUUGCGGCUCAACCGUAAAAUUGCAGUUGAUACUGGCGACCUUGAGUGCAACAGAGGUAGGCGGAAUUCGUGGUGUAGCGGUGAAAUGCUUAGAUAUCACGAAGAACUCCGAUUGCGAAGGCAGCUUACUGGAUUG